CUGCUUUUUAACUAACAUAUAUUGGCUUCAUCUUCUUUUUGAUCAGUCUGAUAAACCAUCUGGAAACAAUUGAGAGUGACGUCACAAAGCCAGCAUUAUGAUUUCAAUGUAGGAUCAAAGAAUAGAAGGGGAAAAAGUGAGGAGUGGAGAAGCGAUUUAACCUUUAAGUACAAAUAACUAACAGGGUACAAAAAGGCAAGAAAACAUGACAAAAUGAAAGGAUUAUUGAUGGACAAUAAAGGAAGCGUAGUAGGUUUACCUUGAGAAUUCACUGAGCUAAUAUACUGGCUCCCAUUUCUAUGUUUAUUGUAGGAAAAAGAGAAAAACACUAACCCAGGGAUAGUGCUGACUAGGGAUGCCCAAGUCAAAAAGACAUUGUAGCACUGGGCUUGGCAGAGUGUCCUGAAGCUAAAUGCAGAAGACUGCGGGAAACGUCUUCAACUGGGGCUAAAGGUCAUAAGCAAGGACAAUGAACCUGGAAUUUAGAGGAAUUCAUACUCCAGUGAAGAAUUUCCAGACCCCUCAUGAAAACAGCAGAUUGCCAACUCACCAGAUAAUACUCAAGCUGAAACUAAGCCGCCCCUGGAAAGUAAGCAAAUGAUUAGAAGGGUGGAUUUCAGGCAAGCAAAAGGUGAGAGCCCAGAAUCUCCAUGUGAAUGAUCCUAAAAUUACAGCUAAUAUAGAAAGUGGCUUCCUUGUACCUUUAGAAAUUGAACUCUCAGAACCUGACUGACAGUCUGCUCUUAAGAACAUUAGCUCAAUCUGGAGAGAAAUGUAUGUUUCCAGCUGGCUCGAAAAGUUCUUCUCCUAUAUGGAUUUUAGGUAGAAGCAGAAGGAGGCUUAGAGAUUCUUCAUCAUAACUUGCCAAAAUGAAAAAGAACUGUGAAAAGAAAAUGGACACUUCUUCAGGAUUUUAAGAAGUCUCAUUGAUUUGGCAAUCUUUGAUCUCAUCAUGUGCACAUAGUUUAAGUAUCAGCUCUUCUUGAUGACUUAUUCAUUUAUUUGCCCUCACCCUUGGUCAGGGUCUAUCUGCUGCUACAGAUUUCUGCUGAUGUGCUCCAUCUUCAUCACCUGUACCUCUAUGGAGCCACAGAACCCAUCUUCUAAGGCACAGAGAGCCAAGAGAGCAAGGAGUCAACACUAUCUUCUUUGGUGAGUUGUCCAGCAAGCCUCUUGUCUCCAGAAAUGUCCAGGUGAGAAGCAGACUAAAGAUCAGGUUCUAUGGCUUAGUAAGCCUCUUGAUGGGAAUAGAAGCCAGUCUCCCUGCUCAUAGGUUCUUCAGUCUGUUCCAGCGAUUUCCCCUGAGUGCCCCACCUCCCUUGGGUUCAUAAAUUCUGUAACUCCAUGAGACUGAUCACCUAAAUGACCCUUCUCUUUCUGCUAGUUCUUUCCUUAGACUGACUGGUGGGAGCAGGAGGAGAAGGUGAGAUUUGACAGAGGUAGGAUGGAGUCUGCUACUUCUUAGUACAGGUGGUGGGAGUGGCUGUGAGCUUGUCUGGAUCCAACUGUGGUAGAUCAUAAAACAUGUGAGUACUUCGUAUCAUUUAUUUUCAACUGAGACUGUGAUCACCACCAAUUCUGAUGCACAAAGAAAAGUUCUACUCAACAUACUUUGCAGAAGUUUUGAUUCUAGUUUUUCAUUUCAGUUGUUAUUUUUUAGUUUAGUUGCUUUAGUUGUUUAGUUGCUUAAAAAUCAGAUACCUUUUUUUGUUGUUUCUAAAUCUUUUUUCUUUUUUUGUUGUCUGUGAAAAUUUUCACAUGGUUUUAUUUAUCUGUUUAUUUUUCCAGAUGAUUUAUAGUGUUAAGUUUACUGUCAGUAAUCCUUUCUUAGCUUUCUCUGAUUCAACAUUCAGUUGUCUCUGACUUUUGUAUUUUUCCCGCAUGACAGAAGUGAUAUGUUGAAGGCAGGCAUAACGUUCACUGGGAGGAGUUGUUUACCACAGGCCACUGUGUCAGUAAGAUGGAUAGCAGAUUAUGUGUGAUCCCUGACACAUUCAAUGCAAAUUCAUUCCUUUCUUGCUCACAGAUUUGGGACACAUGAUGCUGGAUUUAAGAACUGCUGAACUCUUUUAAAAUUAUUUUUAAAAAACGCAUUAUUUUAAAAUUUUGGUUUUUUUAAAUUGACAAAUAAAAAUUGUAUGUAUUUAUGUUGUAUAAUGUGAUGUUUUAAUAGAUGUAUACAUUGUGAAAUGGUU
RNAcentral lists this long non-coding RNA (2195 nucleotides) under Macaca mulatta (Rhesus monkey). RNAcentral describes it as "lncRNA (ENSMMUG00000054088.1)". The record is from RNAcentral. Lineage: Eukaryota; Metazoa; Chordata; Mammalia; Primates; Cercopithecidae.